This 73-nucleotide transfer RNA is filed under the name Polyplectron bicalcaratum (gray peacock-pheasant). Its description in RNAcentral is "tRNA-Asn". The record is from RNAcentral. Lineage: Eukaryota; Metazoa; Chordata; Aves; Galliformes; Phasianidae.
UAGGCAGAAGCCAACGGGUGCUGGCGUCUAGCUGUUAACUAGAAUUGUAUGGGAUCGAGGCCCAUCUGCCUAG